GACGAACGCUGGCGGCGUGCUUAACACAUGCAAGUGGAGCGACGAACCAGGGCUUGCCCUGGGGCAGAGCCGCGAACGGGUGAGUAACACGUGGGUAACGUACCCCGAUGACUGGGACAACCCGGGGAAACCCGGGCUAAUACCGGAUGUCCACCCUCACAUCAGUGAGGUGUGUAAAGGAAGCUUCGGCCUCCGCGUUGGGAUCGGCCCGCGGCGCAUUAGCUUGUUGGUGAGGUAACGGCNCACCAAGGCCGCGAUGCGUAGCUGGUCUGAGAGGACGAUCAGCCACACUGGGACUGAGACACGGCCCAGACUCCUACGGGAGGCAGCAGUGGGGAAUUGUUCGCAAUGGGCGCAAGCCUGACGACGCAACGCCGCGUGGAGGAUGAAGACCU
Molecule: ribosomal RNA, 395 nt
Filed under: uncultured bacterium
Lineage: Bacteria
Description: bacterial SSU rRNA
Rfam family: Bacterial small subunit ribosomal RNA
Source: RNAcentral